GACGAACGCUGGCGGCGUGCUUAACACAUGCAAGUCGAGCGGUAAGGCCCUUUCGGGGGUACACGAGCGGCGAACGGGUGAGUAACACGUGGGUGACCUGCCCUCAGCUCUGGGAUAAGCCUGGGGAAACUGGGUCUAAUACCGGAUAUGACUCCAUGACGCAUGUUGUGGGGUGAAAGCCUUGUGCGGCUGAGGAUGGGCCCGCGGCCUAUCAGCUUGUUGGUGGGGUGAGGCCUACCAAGGCGACGACGGGUAGCCGGCCUGAGAGGGCGACCGGCCACACUGGGACUGAGACACGGCCCAGACUCCUACGGGAGGCAGCAGUGGGGAAUCUUGCGCAAUGGGCAAAGCCUGACGCAGCGACGCCGCGUGAGGGAUGACGGCCU
RNAcentral lists this ribosomal RNA (386 nucleotides) under uncultured bacterium. RNAcentral's name for it is "bacterial SSU rRNA". It matches the Rfam family "Bacterial small subunit ribosomal RNA", at positions 28 to 417 of the family's 1533-position model. The record is from RNAcentral.